GAUUUCCUACGGGGGGCAGCAGUGGGGAUUAUUGCACAAUGGGGGAAACCCUGAUGCAGCGACGCCGCGUGAGUGAGGAAGUAUUUCGGUAUGUAAAGCUCUAUCAGCAGGGAAGAAAAAAUGACGGUACCUGACUAAGAAGCACCGGCUAAAUACGUGCCAGCAGCCGCGGUAAUACGUAUGGUGCAAGCGUUAUCCGGAUUUACUGGGUGUAAAGGGAGCGCGGGCGG
Molecule: ribosomal RNA, 230 nt
Filed under: uncultured bacterium
Lineage: Bacteria
Description: partial 16S ribosomal RNA
Rfam family: Bacterial small subunit ribosomal RNA
Source: RNAcentral